This 493-nucleotide long non-coding RNA is filed under the name Olea europaea (common olive). RNAcentral describes it as "long non-coding RNA (OEUR_LNC009085)". Lineage: Eukaryota; Viridiplantae; Streptophyta; Magnoliopsida; Lamiales; Oleaceae. The record is from RNAcentral.
UAGUGGGGAACUGGUGGUGGUGGAGGAGAAGUGUAGUAGUAUGGUGGAGGUGGAGAUUUCUUUGGUGGUGGGGGAGACACAUAAUAGUAUGGAGGAGGUGGUGAUUUAACUGGUGGAGGUGGAGAGGUGUAGUAGUAUGGUGGUGGUGGAGACUUCUUUGGUGGUGGGGGAGACACAUAAUGGUAUGGAGGUGGUGAUUUAACUGGUGGAGGUGGAGAGGUGUAGUAGUAUGGUGGUGGUGGAGACUUCUUUGGUGGUGGGGGAGACUCAUAAUGGUAUGGAGGAGGUGGUGAUUUAACUGGUGGAGGUGGAGAGGUGUAGUAGUAUGGUGGUGGUGGAGACUUCUUUGGUGGUGGGGGAGACACAUAAUAGUAUGGAGGAGGUGGUGAUUUAACUGGUGGAGGUGGAGAGGUGUAGUAGUAUGGUGGUGGAGGGGACUUCACUGGUGGUGGUGGAGAAGUGUAGUAGUAAGGAGGAGGUGGAGACUUAGUGG